UACGUAGGGUCCGAGCGUUGUCCGGAAUUACUGGGCGUAAAGAGCUCGUAGGUGGUUUGUCGCGUUGUUCGUGAAAACUCACAGCUUAACUGUGGGCGUGCGGGCCAUACGGGCAGACUGGAGUACUGCAGGGGAGACUGGAAUUCCUGGGGUAGCGGUGGAAUGCGCAGAUAUCAGGAGGAACACCGGUGGCGAAGGCGGGUCUCUGGGCAGUAACUGACGCUGAGGAGCGAAAGCGUGGGGAGCGAACAGG
This 253-nucleotide ribosomal RNA is filed under the name uncultured bacterium. RNAcentral's name for it is "partial 16S ribosomal RNA". It matches the Rfam family "Bacterial small subunit ribosomal RNA", at positions 524 to 776 of the family's 1533-position model. The record is from RNAcentral.